Molecule: unclassified non-coding RNA, 253 nt
Filed under: uncultured Oceanospirillales bacterium
Lineage: Bacteria; Pseudomonadati; Pseudomonadota; Gammaproteobacteria; Oceanospirillales
Description: contains 16S-23S intergenic spacer region
Rfam family: Bacterial small subunit ribosomal RNA
Source: RNAcentral
UACAGAGGGUGCAAGCGUUAAUCGGAAUUACUGGGCGUAAAGCGCGCGUAGGUGGUUUGUUAAGUCGGAUGUGAAAUCCCAGGGCUCAACCUUGGAAUGGCACCCGAUACUGGCUAGCUAGAGUAUGGUAGAGGGGUGUGGAAUUUCCUGUGUAGCGGUGAAAUGCGUAGAUAUAGGAAGGAACAUCAGUGGCGAAGGCGGCACCCUGGACUAAUACUGACACUGAGGUGCGAAAGCGUGGGGAGCAAACAGG